GAACCUGUACUGGCUUUUGUUCCUUCAAGUUCUGAUGAGUCUGAAGGAGAAACACUCAGUGAGAGAGAGGAUGAUUUAAGAACCAAAUGAAAGGGAAGGAAAAGAGGAAGUAAGAAAGUGAAAGGGCGCUGUUAUGUCCAUGAAGAACAAGAAAUAAAAAUCUAAGGAAAUAAUUGAAAGUCUUACAGUCACCGAAAGGAAAGAAUUUAGAUAUUGCUAGAAUUUUAUCAAAAAGGAAAGAGAAAAAGGAACAAGACCUGUGUCCAGUCCGAAGUGGUGCUCUUGUCACAGAUGCCCACAAUACGAGAGAGUGGAAGAUCGAGUUUGCUGUGGGAUGGUCCCAGAAUUAUGCUCAAGUCAAAGAC
Molecule: long non-coding RNA, 365 nt
Organism: Dreissena polymorpha
Lineage: Eukaryota; Metazoa; Mollusca; Bivalvia; Myida; Dreissenidae
Exons: 3
Source: RefSeq, a predicted model, not a curated record